This 472-nucleotide ribosomal RNA is filed under the name uncultured bacterium. RNAcentral describes it as "bacterial SSU rRNA". It matches the Rfam family "Bacterial small subunit ribosomal RNA", at positions 355 to 825 of the family's 1533-position model. The record is from RNAcentral.
UGGGGAAUCUUGGACAAUGGGCGCAAGCCUGAUCCAGCGAUGCCGCGUGUGUGAAGAAGGCCUGCGGGUUGUAAAGCACUUUAGUUGGGGAGGAAAGGUAUGUACUGCAUAAGUGCAUGCUGUGACGUUACCCAAAGAAUAAGCACCGGCUAACUACGUGCCAGCAGCCGCGGUAAUACGUAGGGUGCGAGCGUUAAUCGGAAUUACUGGGCGUAAAGGGCGCGUAGGCGGCAAUUCAAGUCAUCUGUGAAAUCUCCGGGCUUAACUCGGAACGGUCAGAUGAUACUGCUUUGCUAGAGUGCAGAAGGGGCAAUCGGAAUUCUUGGUGUAGCGGUGAAAUGCGUAGAUAUCAAGAGGAACACCUGAGGUGAAGACGGGUUGCUGGGCUGACACUGACGCUGAGGCGCGAAAGCCAGGGGAGCAAACGGGAUUAGAUACCCCCGUAGUCCCUGAGCGGGCUGGCAAGGCGCAU